RNAcentral lists this signal recognition particle RNA (252 nucleotides) under Chlorocebus sabaeus (green monkey). RNAcentral's name for it is "Metazoan signal recognition particle RNA". It matches the Rfam family "Metazoan signal recognition particle RNA". Rfam says of the family: The signal recognition particle (SRP) is a universally conserved ribonucleoprotein. Lineage: Eukaryota; Metazoa; Chordata; Mammalia; Primates; Cercopithecidae. The record is from Rfam by way of RNAcentral.
GCCAGGCACGGUGGCUCACACCUGUAAUCCCAGCAGGGAGGCUGAGGCAGGAGAAUCCCUUGAACCCGGGAGGUGGAGGUUGCAGUGAGCUGAGAUUGCGCCACUGCACUCCAGCCUGGGUGACAGAGGGAGAGUCCUUCUCNNNNNNNNNNAGAAGGACUCUCCCUCUGUCACCCAGGCUGGAGUGCAGUGGCGCAAUCUCAGCUCACUGCAACCUCCACCUCCCGGGUUCAAGGGAUUCUCCUGCCUCAG